This is a long non-coding RNA of Grus americana (Whooping crane), 1961 nucleotides long. RefSeq lists it as uncharacterized. NCBI's taxonomy places the organism in Eukaryota, Metazoa, Chordata, Aves, Gruiformes, Gruidae. The transcript is spliced from 3 exons. The record is from RefSeq and is a predicted model, not a curated record.
GCUUGUGCCCUCGGAAGCCUGCAGCGCGGAUUAGCAGCAGACCUGUGCCCUUAGAGAAGAAGGAUAGCAGCGCGGUUGCACCAUGCUAUACAUGCCGUUCCUCUUCCUGUUCUCCCAACAGGGAAGCUGACUGUAGCCAUAAAGACACCCACAACAGGCAAACCGAGGAACCAGGCAGCAAACUGAGAUUCACCUAAGCUGAGCAGCAAGAUGACUACCAAUGCCAACUGGCUGUGGCAAGCACAGCUUGAGGAACAUUUCAGAACCUUUUACACCCUACCUGAACAGCAAAAGCCUGCACAGCAAUAUAAAGAUGAGAAUGAUCUGGGUACUAAUGUAAAACAUUAAUUCAGACUUAUAUUUGUAGGAAGAAUGAGACGCUGCAGACAAUGAGCCUUAACAGUAAUGGCACUACUUCGAAGGACCUGACCUGCUUUCAACUACAACAUGACCUCUCAGGCAAUCAACAGAUCCUGUGAAGAGCACAUAGCUUAAUCAUACCUGAACUUAUUUAUUUUAUGUCUUCUUCCUCUUUUCUUAAAAAGCAUUUUACAUCUCACUAAAAUCCUAAUUGUCCUACUGAAAGUUCACGCUUCUGAUGUUGCCUGUCUCGAGGAGAAAGCUUAUUCACAAAUAAACCUUGCAGGAUGGAAAAAUGACAAGGAAGAAAAUAUCAAGUCAGACAAGUAUGACUGGAAACUCAGAUGUAAAGAAUUCAAAUAUUUCAAAAGAUGUCUUGAUAGGUAUAUUCCCACCUCAUUCCAAGCAAAUAAGAUUAGCACAUAUUACUGAAAAUUUUAUGCCUCAGAAGAAGGCCCUAAUUAUAUUUCACACCGCUCUGAAGAUUCCUGUAAUAUACACACAUCUUUAAUGUGGAAUUUUAUACGCUAUUUAUAGCAUAUAGGCUCUUUUUGAUAUUAUUACUUUUCUAUGAAAGUUCCUUUGAAGUCAGGUAAUUACCUUAAGCGAAAUAUUUAGCCUGUUGUGAGAACUGAACUAUGAGAUUUGUGUAGAACAAAUAAGUCAUCAUGUAGCCCAGUAUAAAGGUUUCCGAGCCACUAGUGGGGAUAGAAACAUUAAUUAUGAAGACAAAGCCAAGAAUGUGUUUUAAAGGUCAUUUAAAGUGAGAGCUGAUAAAUCGGUAUAGUAGUACAUCUUGCUGCAUGCAUGCCCCUAAAAACUAUUUGAGCUAAGCACUGAAGAGUGUAAAAUUAUUGCAUUACCAGUUACAAUCCUUAGUAAAGCCACAGCUUUAGGUUACCAGAGACCUGGCCAGAGUCAGGCUGUAACUGUGAAGAGGUCGGGAGGAGUUACUAAAAUGGCUAAUAACAAUCUGCAGUAACUUCUCUCCAACCAGAAAUGUCACAUCAUUAAAGACUUGUAAAUCUGGAUUCUUCCCAUGCUAGAAGAAAGCGUGUCUCUUUCUCUGCAAAGCUAUGAAUCUUUUUAGUGGGAUAAAUGACGUAUAGCUACCAUAUAUCAGUAUACAAAGUUAUGUCAUUUUUAUAUUGCAUUCUGAUCUAGGACUGAACCAUGACCAUUUUGUGUCUGAUGGUAGCAUUUUCAAGAAAAGUCACUCGUAGUAAGAAGUCACCGGCAGAUCCACUCUUCACCUCCUCAGACACAGUUCCCUGAAAAUACCUAAAAGUACAGGAUGUUAAAACACAAUGCCAUAUGGAUCCGCAAUUUGUCACACAAGUGUUAUCCCUCAUACGCAAUGCAUAAUAUAACACAUGAACCCAAAACUUCGAGAUGUAACAGAGCCAUACAUACAUGUGUGCACACACGCACACACAAAAGGCGAGUCAGCCAAUGCAGGAUGGCAAAACUAAUUUAUUAUCGUUUUUCACAGAUGGAACAAAUUCACUUAGUUUACCGCAUCCAGACAGGUUUCCUCAACGGCAUGCAAUUCAAUAAUCUGAGAAUUGAAACUGCUGUUUCUAUUAUAUUUUUUGCCUAAG